This 460-nucleotide ribosomal RNA is filed under the name uncultured bacterium. Its description in RNAcentral is "partial 16S ribosomal RNA". It matches the Rfam family "Bacterial small subunit ribosomal RNA", at positions 338 to 795 of the family's 1533-position model. The record is from RNAcentral.
CCUACGGGAGGCAGCAGUGAGGAAUAUUGGUCAAUGGGCGGAAGCCUGAACCAGCCAAGUAGCGUGCAGGAUGACGGCCCUACGGGUUGUAAACUGCUUUUAUACGGGAAUAACGCGCCUUACGUGUGGGGCUUUGCAUGUACCGUGUGAAUAAGGACCGGCUAAUUCCGUGCCAGCAGCCGCGGUAAUCCGGGAGGUCCGGGCGUUAUCCGGAUUUAUUGGGGUUAAAGGGAGCGUAGGCCGCAUGUCAAGCGUGCUGUGAAAUGUCCGGGCGCAACCCGGGCCUUGCCGCGGGAACUGGCGGGCUGGAGUCGGAGGAAAGCAGGCGGAAUGCGUGGUGUAGCGGUGAAAUGCUUAGAUAUGACGAAGAACCCCGAUUGCGAAGGCAGCUUGCUGCAGCGGAACUGACGCUGAUGCUCGAAAGCGCGGGUAUCGAACAGGAUUAGAUACCCCAGUAGUC